UGGGGGGAGCCCCUGGGGGUCCUUGCUCAGCUCCCUCUCCCCCUGUCAGGCAGGCACCACCUCGUAGAUGUCCCCUAGCUGGGUUCAGGGGUCACGUGGGGCCAAUUCUCUUUUAUGGUCAAUUUCUCAGGGUUUCCCUCUUCCCUGGGAACUGUGUAUAUGCACGGGGACAGGGGGUCAUAACUGGAUGCCAGCUGGCCGGACCCCGUGCAAACGGAGUUUGCCAAGGAGGAGGUGAAUCCACAUACAGAGAUCUGUGCAAACAGGCCGAGGGACAGGGGCUCCGUCAAGCAGGCUAAGAGGCCCUCUUCCAUCCUCACUAUCCUGGCUUCCGGGUUGAGGUUCUGCCAUUUCUUCCCAAGCCACUGUGCCAGAAGCCUUCUUUGGCCAACCCCCUGAGACCCGUUAGGAGAAGUCUUAUGCUCUAAGAGGAAGGAUGAGGGCAGACUUCAGAAGGGACUUUCCAAAGGUCGAGGCCAGAUAGGGAUAAAACAGAGCCAGGCUGAGCUAUUAUUGCUCCCCAGCUAUGAAGGAGCAAGCAGGGGCUCUGGGGGCAGUGUUGAAGCUGGGCCUGUGUCCUCUCCCAGCCCUGACCCUGGGCACCUACUCAGCAGAGCGCCCUCCUGUCCCCGCUGGACCUCAGCUUUCUCGCUGCUAACAGGAGGAGGUGGAAAAGCCCCUUCAGGGUUGGCCCCUCUCUCGGCCUAUGGGGAGACUGGGAAACAGACAGCCCGGGGCCAGGGCGCAGAAGGCCUGGGUCCCAGGCACGGCUGCCUGUAACUUGCUGUGUGACCCUGGGCAGCUUGCUUGUCCUCUCUGAUUCCAGCCUACCUGGGAGCAGCUCAGCUCAUUUCGAGACUUCAUAGUAUUUUUAAGAAGGAACACCCAGGCCUCGGGGCUUCGGAGGGCACCCGCAGGCUCCUCUCCCCCUGGACAGGGCUGUGGUAGCGGGGGAGGAACCGAUUGGAAAUCCAGGUGGCCAGGCCCAGAGGGAACUGGGCUAGCGGUGGAACAGGAAGGAAGAAGAGAGAGACAGAAUGCGAGCAGGACAGGAGCAGAGAGAGAGGGAGACGCAGAAUCUGAAGCAGGCUCCAGGCUCCGAGCUGUCAGCACAGAGCCCGACGCGGGGCUCGGACCCACAAACCGUGAGAUCGUGACCUGAGCCGAAGUCGGACACUCAAGCGACUGAGCCACCCAGGCGCCCC
Molecule: long non-coding RNA, 1205 nt
Organism: Neofelis nebulosa (Clouded leopard)
Lineage: Eukaryota; Metazoa; Chordata; Mammalia; Carnivora; Felidae
Exons: 3
Source: RefSeq, a predicted model, not a curated record